Molecule: ribosomal RNA, 296 nt
Filed under: uncultured bacterium
Lineage: Bacteria
Description: partial 16S ribosomal RNA
Rfam family: Bacterial small subunit ribosomal RNA
Source: RNAcentral
GGAUUAGAUACCCUGGUAGUCCACGCCGUAAACGUUGAGCACUAGUUGUUGUGGGUACUGACCCCUGCAGUGACGACGCUAACGCAUUAAGUGCUCCGCCUGGGGACUACGGCCGCAAGGCUAAAACUCAAAGGAAUUGACGGGGGCCCGCACAAGCGGUGGAGUAUGUGGUUUAAUUCGACGACGCGCAGAACCUUACCCGGUCUUGACAUCGAGGGAAAGCCCGUAGAAAUACGGACCCCCACCUUCGGGUGGCCCAAAGACAGGUGCUGCAUGGCUGUCGUCAGCUCGUGUCG